RNAcentral lists this ribosomal RNA (1244 nucleotides) under Sticta limbata. Its description in RNAcentral is "eukaryotic LSU rRNA". It matches the Rfam family "Eukaryotic large subunit ribosomal RNA", at positions 80 to 1341 of the family's 3401-position model. The record is from RNAcentral. Lineage: Eukaryota; Fungi; Ascomycota; Lecanoromycetes; Peltigerales; Lobariaceae.
CCAGUAACGGCGAGUGAAGCGGCAACAGCUCAAAUUUGAAAUCUGGCUCCUUCGGGGUCCGAGUUGUAAUUUGUAGAGGGUGUUUCGGGUGCGAUGCCGGUCUAAGUUCCUUGGAACAGGACGUCGUAGAGGGUGAGAAUCCCGUAUGCGACCGGCGAUCAAGCCCGUGCGAAGCCCCUUCGACGAGUCGAGUUGUUUGGGAAUGCAGCUCAAAAUGGGUGGUAAAUUUCAUCUAAAGCUAAAUACUGGCCAGAGACCGAUAGCGGACAAGUAGAGUGAUCGAAAGAUGAAAAGCACUUUGGAAAGAGAGUCAAACAGUACGUGAAAUUGUUGAAAGGGAAGCGCUUGCAAUCAGACCGGUCCGGAGGCGAUCAGCCGCUGCUCGUCAGCGGUGCACUCGCCUGCGAUCCGGCCAGCAUCGGUUUGGGCGGCGGGAUAAAAGUCCCGGGAAUGUAGCUUCCUCCGGGGAGUCUUAUAGCCCGGGUCGCAAUGCCGCCCGCCCGGACCGAGGACCGCGCUUCGGCUAGGAUGCUGGCGUAAUGGUUGCAAGCGACCCGUCUUGAAACACGGACCAAGGAGUCUAACAUCUAUGCGAGUGUUUGGGUGUCAAACCCAGGCGCGGAAUGAAAGUGAACGGAGGUGGGAACCCGUCAGACGGCGCACCAUCGACCGAUCCAGAUGUCUUCGGAUGGAUUUGAGUAUGAGCAUAGCUGUUGGGACCCGAAAGAUGGUGAACUAUGCCCGGAUAGGGUGAAGCCAGAGGAAACUCUGGUGGAGGCUCGCAGCGGUUCUGACGUGCAAAUCGAUCGUCAAAUCUAGGCAUAGGGGCGAAAGACCAAUCGAACCAUCUAGUAGCUGGUUCCUGUCGAAGUUUCCCUCAGGAUAGCAGUAACGUUUUCAGUUUUAUGAGGUAAAGCGAAUGAUUAGAGGCCUUGGGGCUGAAACAGCCUUAACCUAUUCUCAAACUUUAAAUAUGUAAGAAGUCCUUGUUACUUAGUUGAACGUGGACAUUUGAAUGCACCGUUACUAGUGGGCCAUUUUUGGUAAGCAGAACUGGCGAUGCGGGAUGAACCGAACGCGAGGUUAAGGUGCCGGAAUGCACGCUCAUCAGACACCACAAAAAGUGUCAAUUCAUCCAGACAGCCGGACGGUGGCCAUGGAAGUCGGAAUCCGCUAAGGAGUGUGUAACAACUCACCGGCCGAAUGAAUUGGCCUUGAAAAUGGAUGGCGCUCAAGCGUGCUAC